AGCGAACGCUGGCGGCAGGCCUAACACAUGCAAGUCGAGCGCCCCGCAAGGGGAGCGGCAGACGGGAGAGUAACACGUGGGAACGUGCCCUUUGGUUCGGAACAACCCAGGGAAACUUGGGCUGAUACCGGAUAAGCCCUCACGGGGAAAGAUUUAUCGCCGAAGGAUCGGCCCGCGUCUGAUUAGCUAGUUGGUGGGGUAAUGGCCCACCAAGGCGACGAUCAGUAGCUGGUCUGAGAGGAUGAUCAGCCUCACUGGGACUGAGACACGGCCCAGACUCCUACGGGAGGCAGCAGUGGGGAAUAUUGGACAAUGGGCGCAAGCCUGAUCCAGCCAUGCCGCGUGGGUGAUGAAGGCCCUAGGGUUGUAAAGCCCUUUCGGCGGGGAAGAUAAUGACGGUACCCGCAGAAGAAGCCCCGGCUAACUUCGUGCCAGCAGCCGCAGUAA
This 447-nucleotide ribosomal RNA is filed under the name uncultured bacterium. RNAcentral's name for it is "partial 16S ribosomal RNA". It matches the Rfam family "Bacterial small subunit ribosomal RNA", at positions 29 to 523 of the family's 1533-position model. The record is from RNAcentral.